AUUUUAUAUAUUAACAAUUGAUGAAAGCUCUUAACAACAGUAUCAGUUUCCCGGUUUCAUAUGACCGGCAUCUUCCGGUCUUCCCCAUCUCUGCGUAACCCAUCUCCAAACUCAAAACACAGCCCCCAGACUCACCCAAAUCAUAAACUGCAACACCCCAUCAUUGUUCCUUUAACGAUAGAAGUAUGUAAUUGUUUCAAAGAGACCGAAAUCAGUGUUUCGGCGGCUAGGAUUUCAUUGCGAACCCGACUACGGCGGUGAUUUGGGUUGUUGGUUCUGCGUCGGCUAGGGUUUCAGUUUAAAUCCGAAGACAGUGGUGAUUUCAGGUUGUCACUUCGAGGCCCGAAGCGGCAAUCGGAGAUUACGUUCACGAUCUCUCUGCGAUUCUUUCUGCAUGUUUGGUUGAUGAUCCAUUGCUUUCCGAUUCAAAUUGUUUUUAUCAGGUCAAGAUAGUAACUAAUCACAAGAAAUUAGUCAGGGUCUGUGACAUAAUUAAUGAAUAUCUGGAUAUUUUUAUGGCUCGACUUUGGUCCUGGAAAUGAGAGUAUUUAUUAUGCAUCCUUUCUUCAUACGAUUGCUGGAAAUGGGAGCCUAACAGAAUCAGGAUGGUAGCAGCAGCCCCGUUCAACACUCCAAGAGUCCAAGGCAACUCAUUUAGCUUUGUAAUGGACAAGGCUGGAGAUAUAUGUCAAAAUAGGAAAGCAGUUGGGUUGACCCACUACAACUUACAGUCCUUUAUAUUUUGUACAUUAUUUCCUUACCAGUUAUCCUAAUGUGACAACAUGUUCACAGAAAAACAUACCCGCCGCGAAGCGCGGGCGUUAUCUGCUAGUUAGAUCAUAUAGCUGUCCAAAAUCGUAUAUAAAGAGCAUGCUUCUAAUUAUUAGAUCA
Helianthus annuus (common sunflower) is the source of this 891-nucleotide long non-coding RNA. RefSeq lists it as uncharacterized. The record is from RefSeq and is a predicted model, not a curated record. Lineage: Eukaryota; Viridiplantae; Streptophyta; Magnoliopsida; Asterales; Asteraceae. The transcript has 2 exons.